GGGGCGUUAGCUCAGCCGGUUAGAGCAGCGGACUCAUAAUCCGUCGGUCGCGGGUUCAAGCCCCGCACGCCCUACCA
Molecule: transfer RNA, 77 nt
Filed under: Leucobacter sp. Ag1
Lineage: Bacteria; Bacillati; Actinomycetota; Actinomycetes; Micrococcales; Microbacteriaceae
Also listed under: 11 other names
Description: tRNA-Met
Rfam family: tRNA
About the family: Transfer RNA (tRNA) molecules are approximately 80 nucleotides in length.
Source: RNAcentral